AGCGGAUCUCUUAAAGCCGUUCUCAGUUCGGACUGUAGGCUGCAACUCGCCUACACGAAGCUGGAAUCGCUAGUAAUCGCGGAUCAGCACGCCGCGGUGAAUACGUUCCCGGGCCUUGUACACACCGCCCGUCACACCAUGGGAGCCGGAAAUGCCCGAAGUCAGUGACCCAACCGCAAGGAGGGAGCUGCCGAAGGUGGAGCUGGUAACUGGGGUGAAGUCGUAACAAGGUACC
This 235-nucleotide ribosomal RNA is filed under the name uncultured bacterium. RNAcentral's name for it is "partial 16S ribosomal RNA". It matches the Rfam family "Bacterial small subunit ribosomal RNA", at positions 1266 to 1500 of the family's 1533-position model. The record is from RNAcentral.